RNAcentral lists this ribosomal RNA (468 nucleotides) under uncultured bacterium. RNAcentral describes it as "partial 16S ribosomal RNA". It matches the Rfam family "Bacterial small subunit ribosomal RNA", at positions 28 to 507 of the family's 1533-position model. The record is from RNAcentral.
GACGAACGCUGGCGGCGUGCUUAACACAUGCAAGUCGAACGGAAAGACCCUGCUUUUGUGGGGUGCUCGAGUGGCGAACGGGUGAGUAACACGUGAGUAACCUGCCCUUGACUUUGGGAUAACUUCAGGAAACUGGGGCGAAUACCGGAUAGGAGCUCCUGCUGCAUGGUGGGGGUUGGAAAGUUUCGGCGGUUGGGGAUGGACUCGCGGCUUAUCAGCUUGUUGGUGGGGUAGUGGCUUACCAAGGCUUUGACGGGUAGCCGGCCUGAGAGGGUGACCGGCCACAUUGGGACUGAGAUACGGCCCAGACUCCUACGGGAGGCAGCAGUGGGGAAUAUUGCACAAUGGGCGGAAGCCUGAUGCAGCAACGCCGCGUGCGGGAUGACGGCCUUCGGGUUGUAAACCGCUUUCGCCUGUGACGAAGCGUGAGUGACGGUAAUGGGUAAAGAAGCACCGGCUAACUACGUG